GACACAGAAAUGAAAAGAAGGGACUAAUAGGGAAUAAGACGUGUGAUCCAUGGCCCGAUGGCCCUGAUGGACGUGAAGAUCCACUGUUGUGGGAGGAGUGGAACACUAACACUGAAUGAUGGAGGCUGUGGUCAGAAACAGAUUUGUCUGAAUUUCAGUUGAUCCAGAGCAAGAAAAAUAGCUGAAUAUAACUGGCCAGUGCAGAAGAGCCUAUGAAGGUGGAAAAUGGAGGAAGGAGGACCCCAUGCUGGAGAAGUGAUGGAGAUUUGAAGCCUUGGAAGAUGGCGGCAAGGGAGAUGCCAGAGAUGAGACAAUGUUAAACAUCUGUAAUCUAACAGUCUUCUAUGGGAGUUUAUUACAUUUCCAUAUCCUAUGUUCACUUCUAGUGAAAAAUAAAAAUAAAAUCUUAAGCCCCCCACAGCUGACUAAAUGGAUCCCAUUGUGAAAGGAAAAUAUCUUGAGCCUCCAAAAUCACUAAGGAAAAUUCAAGCUGGAAACUUCUUAGGACAAACCUGCCUCCCAUUCUCUUCAAAGUUAUUCCUCUGCUCGAGGAGCUAGAUGCAUAUCUGAUUGCCGCCUUUGGAAAGGCUAACCAGAAACUCAAAAG
Molecule: long non-coding RNA, 607 nt
Filed under: Homo sapiens (human)
Lineage: Eukaryota; Metazoa; Chordata; Mammalia; Primates; Hominidae
Description: non-protein coding LINC02365:13
Source: RNAcentral